RNAcentral lists this ribosomal RNA (442 nucleotides) under uncultured bacterium. RNAcentral describes it as "partial 16S ribosomal RNA". It matches the Rfam family "Bacterial small subunit ribosomal RNA", at positions 339 to 795 of the family's 1533-position model. The record is from RNAcentral.
CUACGGGCGGCUGCAGUGGGGAAUAUUGGGCAAUGGGCGCAAGCCUGACCCAGCAACGCCGCGUGAGGGAAGAAUGUCUUCGGAUUGUAAACCUCUGUCCUUGGGGACGAAAAAAAUGACGGUACCCAAGGAGGAAGCUCCGGCUAACUACGUGCCAGCAGCCGCGGUAAUACGUAGGGAGCAAGCGUUGUCCGGAAUUAUUGGGCGUAAAGGGUGCGUAGGCGGCGCUGUAAGUCAGAUGUGAAAUCCCCGGGCUUAACUCGGGAGUUGCAUUUGAAACUACAGUGCUUGAGUAAAGAAGGGGUAAGUGGAAUUCCUAGUGUAGCGGUGGAAUGCGUAGAUAUUAGGAGGAACACCAGUGGCGAAGGCGACUUACUGGUCUUUUACUGACGCUGAGGCACGAAAGCGUGGGGAGCAAACAGGAUUAGAUACCCUUGUAGUC